AUUUUAAAUAGGGUGAUUUUAAAAUGAUUUUCAGUUUAUCAAUUUAAAACUCAAGGAUGUAGAAUUAGCAAAGACAAGGUAUGAACUAGGGGAAAUUAAACUAUAUAAUUAACAAAAUGUUACUGUAUAGUUUAUCAGGAUUAGAUUUAAGUUUGAUGUUCCUAAUUGUGGACUAGGCAGUGAAUUUUAUUAAUGUUAGAAAGGUACUUUUUAUAGUCCAUUUGUAUCUAGUCAGUGUUUUCAUUCUAUGACUUUCCUGUGAACUUGAGGUAGAAAAAAACUCCUUGAUAACAUUUUUACCCUAAAUCUUUGCAUUUUUAAAGAUGAACUUUAAAAAUUAAUUUAUUCUUUUAACAACAUAAAUCAAAGUAGACUACUACACUAAUUAAUUCUUAGAUUUGUAGGUGAGUUGUAAAAAGUUUACCGUUGCAUUUGUAGGACUUGCUGUGAAAAGGAAUUAUGAGGAAACUUUUUCUUCAAAAUACUUUAGUGUAGUAUGAGAUGUCCCCUAUAUACAGGGCAUUCACGUGAUAAACUUAAAUAUCUGGAACAUAGCCAAGAAACAUGCAGAAAGUAAAAAAAAAAUAAUAA
RNAcentral lists this long non-coding RNA (591 nucleotides) under Marmota monax (woodchuck). The record is from RNAcentral. Lineage: Eukaryota; Metazoa; Chordata; Mammalia; Rodentia; Sciuridae.